This 799-nucleotide ribosomal RNA is filed under the name uncultured Glomus. RNAcentral describes it as "SSU rRNA". It matches the Rfam family "Eukaryotic small subunit ribosomal RNA", at positions 314 to 1114 of the family's 1831-position model. Lineage: Eukaryota; Fungi; Glomeromycota; Glomeromycetes; Glomerales; Glomeraceae. The record is from RNAcentral.
AUCAACUUUCGAUUGGUAGGAUAGAGGCCUACCAUGGUGGUAACGGGUAACGGGGUGUUAGGGCACGACACCGGAGAGGGAGCCUGAGAAACGGCUACCACAUCCAAGGAUGGCAGCAGGCGCGCAAAUUACCCAAUCCCGACACGGGGAGGUAGUGACAAUAAAUAACAAUACGGGGUUCUUUCGGAUUUCGUAAUUGGAAUGAGUACAAUUUAAAUCUCUUAACGAGGAACAAUUGGAGGGCAAGUCUGGUGCCAGCAGCCGCGGUAAUUCCAGCUCCAGUAGCGUAUAUUAAAGUUGCUGCAGUUAAAAAGCUCGUAGUUGAAUUUCGGGACCAUCAUGUCGGUCGUGCCUCGGUACGUACUGGCAUUGUUGGUUUCUCCCUUCUGACGAACCAUGAUGUCAUUUAUUUGGUGUUGUGGGGAAUCAGGACUGUUACUUUGAAAAAAUUAGAGUGUUUAAAGCAGGCUCACGCUUGAAUACAUUAGCAUGGAAUAAUGAAAUAGGACGUUUGAUUCUAUUUUGUUGGUUUCUAGGAUCGACGUAAUGACUAAUAGGGAUAGUUGGGGGCAUUAGUAUUCAAUUGUCAGAGGUGAAAUUCUUGGAUUUAUUGAAGACUAACUACUGCGAAAGCAUUUGCCAAGGAUGUUUUCAUUAAUCAAGAACGAAAGUUAGGGGAUCGAAGACGAUCAGAUACCGUCGUAGUCUUAACCAUAAACUAUGCCGACUAGGGAUCGGAUGAUGUUAAUUUUUUAAUGACUCAUUCGGCGCCUUACGGGAAACCAAAGUGUUUGGGUUC